This 253-nucleotide ribosomal RNA is filed under the name uncultured bacterium. RNAcentral's name for it is "partial 16S ribosomal RNA". It matches the Rfam family "Bacterial small subunit ribosomal RNA", at positions 524 to 776 of the family's 1533-position model. The record is from RNAcentral.
UACAGAGGGGGCGAGCGUUAAUCGGAAUUACUGGGCGUAAAGCGUGCGUAGACGGUUAUCUAAGUCGGAUGUGAAAGCCCCGGGCUCAACCUGGGAAUUGCAUUCGAGACUGAAUAGCUAGGGUGCGGUAGAGGGAAGCGGAGUUUCCGGUGUAGCGGUGAAAUGCGUAGAUAUCGGAAGGAACAUCAGUGGCGAAAGCGGCUUCCUGGACCAGCACCGACGUUCAGGCACGAAAGCGUGGGGAGCAAACAGG